RNAcentral lists this ribosomal RNA (460 nucleotides) under uncultured bacterium. RNAcentral's name for it is "partial 16S ribosomal RNA". It matches the Rfam family "Bacterial small subunit ribosomal RNA", at positions 338 to 795 of the family's 1533-position model. The record is from RNAcentral.
CCUACGGGGAGCAGCAGUGAGGAAUAUUGGUCAAUGGACGCAAGUCUGAACCAGCCAUGCCGCGUGCAGGAAGACGGCUCUAUGAGUUGUAAACUGCUUUUGUACGAGGGUAAACGCAGAUACGCGUAUCUGUCUGAAAGUAUCGUACGAAUAAGGAUCGGCUAACUCCGUGCCAGCAGCCGCGGUAAUACGGAGGAUUCAAGCGUUAUCCGGAUUUAUUGGGUUUAAAGGGUGCGUAGGCGGUCGGAUAAGUUAGAGGUGAAAUCCCGGGGCUCAACUUCGGAAUUGCCUCUGAUACUGUACGGCUAGAGAGUAGUUGCGGUAGGCGGAAUGUAUGGUGUAGCGGUGAAAUGCUUAGAGAUCAGACGGAACACCGAUGGCGAAGGCAGCCUACCAAGCUACUUCUGACGUUGAGGCACGAAAGCGUGGGGAGCAAACAGGAUUAGAUACCCUUGUAGUC